Molecule: ribosomal RNA, 427 nt
Filed under: uncultured bacterium
Lineage: Bacteria
Description: bacterial SSU rRNA
Rfam family: Bacterial small subunit ribosomal RNA
Source: RNAcentral
UGGGGAAUUUUGGACAAUGGGCGCAAGCCUGAUCCAGCCAUGCCGCGUGCAGGAUGAAGGCCUUCGGGUUGUAAACUGCUUUUGUACGGAACGAAAAGGUGCCUUCUAAUAAAGGGCGCUCAUGACGGUACCUUAAGAAUAAGCACCGGCUAACUACGUGCCAGCAGCCGCGGUAAUACGUAGGGUGCGAGCGUUAAUCGGAAUUACUGGGCGUAAAGCGUGCGCAGGCGGUUUUGUAAGACAGAGGUGAAAUCCCCGGGCUCAACCUGGGAACUGCCUUUGUGACUGCAAGGCUGGAGUGCGGCAGAGGGGGAUGGAAUUCCGCGUGUAGCAGUGAAAUGCGUAGAUAUGCGGAGGAACACCGAUGGCGAAGGCAAUCCCCUGGGCCUGCACUGACGCUCAUGCACGAAAGCGUGGGGAGCAAACA